AUUUAUUUAGUUAAGUAGUAUAAUACUAAACUUAUAAUUAUAAAUAAGGAGUUACGGGUUCGAAUCCCGCUCUAAGUA
Molecule: transfer RNA, 78 nt
Filed under: Colletotrichum lupini
Lineage: Eukaryota; Fungi; Ascomycota; Sordariomycetes; Glomerellales; Glomerellaceae
Description: tRNA-OTHER
Source: RNAcentral